AUGGUACCUCCAUAUCAGCAAACGAAUUCCAAUUCAAAUUCUGGUCUCACUAUGACUACAACCCAUAGAGCUGGAGAUGCAGUCAACAAUAGACCAAUUGUACCUCCAAGUGGCGAACCAAAUUCAGGUCCAACUUCUAGCCUCAUUAUCACUGCGACCCAUAGAGCUGGAGAUGCAGGUGGGGUGUCAAAUGCAGGUCCAGCUUCUAGCCUCACUAUGACUGCGGUCCACAGAGCUAGAGGUGCGGUGCCAGGUUCCUCUCCAAUUUCUGGUGAAGCCGAAGAAUCAAAUGCUGCUGAUAUCUCUCGCACCUCCAGUUUGCAUCCAGGCACCAGAUCGCAUGGUCAAGUUCGAUCUCCUACUUCCAACACAGCUAUCGUCGUUGUACCAACUGCUAGCCAAACUGAUGAGGGAGCAGCCACUUGGGAAGAACUAGGUCUUGGCAACAUCAUGGGUGACGACAUUCUUGAUUAUGGUCCUGCUGCUUCAAACACAAGGCUCGAAUUCCCAACUGAUGAGCAAGCAGCCACUUGGGAAGAACCAGGUCUUGGCAACAUCAUGGGUGACGGCAUUCCUGAUUAUGGUCUUGCUGCUUCAAACACAAGGCUCGAAUUCCCAGAUGAUGAGACUUCAUUAGCUAACAUAACUUUUACACCGGACGGGAGUCCAUUUGGCUUAUAG
This 681-nucleotide ribosomal RNA is filed under the name Triticum aestivum (bread wheat). RNAcentral's name for it is "partial small subunit ribosomal RNA". The record is from RNAcentral. Lineage: Eukaryota; Viridiplantae; Streptophyta; Magnoliopsida; Poales; Poaceae.